GGUAGUCCACGCCCUAAACGAUGUCAACUAGCUGUUGGGGCCUUCGGGCCUUGGUAGCGCAGCUAACACGUGAAGUUGACCGCCCGGGGAGUACGGUCGCAAGAUUAAAACUCAAAGGAAUUGACGGGGACCCGCACAAGCGGUGGAUGAUGUGGAUUAAUUCGAUGCAACGCGAAAAACCUUACCUACCCUUGACAUGUCUGGAAUCCCAAAGAGAUUAGGGAGUGCUCGCAAGAGAACCGGAACACAGGUGCUGCAUGGCUGUCGUCAGCUCGUGUCGUGAGAUGUUGGGUUGAGUCCCGCAACGAGCGCAACCCUUGUCAUUAGUUGCUACGAAAGGGCACUCUAAUGAGACUGCCGGUGACAAACCGGAGGAAGGUGGGGAUGACGUCAAGUCCUCAUGGCCCUUAUGGGUAGGGCUUCACACGUCAUACAAUGGUCGGGACAGAGGGUCGCCAACCCGCGAGGGGGAGCCAAUCCCAGAAACCCGAUCGUAGUCCGGAUCGUAGUCUGCAACUCGACUACGUGAAGUCGGAAUCGCUAGUAAUCGCGGAUCAGAAUGUCGCGGUGAAUACGUUCCCGGGUCUUGUACACACCGCCCGUCACACCAUGGGAGUGGGUUCCACCAGAAGUAGUUAGCCUAACCGCAAGGAGGGCGAUUACCACGGUGGGGUUCAUGACUGGGGUGAAGUCGUAACAAGGUAGCCGUAUCGGAAGGUGC
RNAcentral lists this ribosomal RNA (721 nucleotides) under uncultured bacterium. RNAcentral describes it as "bacterial SSU rRNA". It matches the Rfam family "Bacterial small subunit ribosomal RNA", at positions 789 to 1515 of the family's 1533-position model. The record is from RNAcentral.